GCCUCUUAAAAAGAGCAUCAGCAAGGAACUGAACAUUAUUUGACUCUGGAUAAAUAGUAUAUUUCAAAUUCCUUUUACUUUUCCCCAAUUGUGGCUGCCUUGGUCAGCUCUAAGGCAAAGGAGAGGAAUAAAAUGUUCCCCAUAAAUGCAAAUAUUUUAUCCCACAAAAAGAGAUAUGACUGAACAUUGAUGGUAUAAACUAUAUGAAACCUUCCACACCUCCCUCUACCCCCAACUAGUGAAUUUUCUUAGCCCUUUUGACUAUGCAGAUGAAGAGCUCAACUCUGAAGAUUUAGCCAGGUGAGUUUUUGCAAUAGUAUAUUGGAUGAAAAUGAAUUUUCACAUAAUUCUUAAUUCCUCUACAUGCAGUGUGAAUAUAGUCUGUGAAGAAAUGUAAAAACCACAUUAGGUUUAAGAUACUGUUCUUUAUUUGUUUGCAUUCUUCUACGUACAUUACAUCUUCAGCACAAGCUGGUAAGGUAUAUUAACUAUUUCAAGCACUUGACAAUCAUUUUUGAGUGUGGAUCCAGAGCUGCCCUUCUACAAACAGAACACCUCCCAUUUGCGGAAGGGACUGAGAUCUGUCAGACAUACCUACUGCAGGAGGGUGGAUGGGAGAGGUGGUCUUACUGAUUUUCUUCUGCAAGCCCCCCUUGUGUCUACCCCCUAGUUCUGAAGGGUCCCCGAACCUUCACUAGCAGAUUUUGGGGAGGUACAGGUGGCUGUGAGGGGACCCUCUUCUAAAAUGGCUCAGAGCAUCCUCUGGCUACGUCAAGUUCAGUGCAGUUUUUUGUAUGUGAUGGAUACAUUGAUGUAAGGCUGCUGAUACUUUGUUCUGCUAUCUUUACAAAUUGAAGAGUUACUUUCAAUGUAUAUAUAACUAGAUUUUGUUUCUAUGUGAGGAUAAAUCAUCUGAGCCUCACAAAUUUACACUUGCUUGCACCUUGCCCUACAAUCUAUCUAAUAUGGCAGCAAUUUAAUCAGUUCAGCUUCCACAUAAAUUACUCAAAAGCACGUAAAAAUGCAAUAGAAAUAAAACAUUACAGCAUGCAAGACUGCUCUGCAGCUAAAACGUUAACAUCUUCUGACUCUUUCAGACUGGUUUUAAAUGCUUAUGAACAAACAUGAAGCCCACCAGUGUGGACUUAUUUUGUCAUCAGUUUCAGGGUAGUUUAAAGCUGGCACAAAUAAUUUCCAAACUAGAAACAUCUGCUAAGGGUGGACGCACUAGCUAAAUUGUUCCUCUGUUGUUACACAAGACCUUUAGCACCACUGGUGUUUCACGUUUGUAAUAGGCAGUAGCAGCCCUUUACAGGUCUACCACCAGACUGGAACAAACUUGAUUGAGAAGUGUAUACAUCAACAAAGUGUUAACUACCAGUGCGUCAUUCCUUAAGGAUGUAGGGGUGCACAUUACCUCGCCCCUUUACCUGCAUUCUGUACAUAUGUAUAUCAUGUGCUUGCUUGGAUGCACAUCAAAAGCAUUUGUACCAAACAUAAGGUUUAAAAUACAGUACUUUCCUGGCUUUCCUUUGCUGCUAAACUCGGUUAAGUCAAGGGACAAGUCCUUUCCCUCCACAUCUCUCUACCUCUAUGCUGAUUUGGCAUUAAGUAGUGCUACCGUUCGGACACUGGUCACCAAGAGAAAAGCAGUGCAAUUGGCUUAAUUAGAAGAUAUGGUAGUGAACACUAGCUUUGAUAGUAUAGAGAAUAGGCUUGUUAUGACUCUUACAUUUGAAAAUGAAACCUUGGUAACAGGAAGUGUCUGGCUACCAAAUAGGCAGAAGCUGGUUAUUACCAUUCUGUCUUGCUGGGAAGCUUGCAGGGGCAUGUGGCUGUUCCGUGGUAGAGGCAGAAUGCCAACCUAGAUGGCUGUUUUGACUGAACCAAGCCAGGCAUUACAUGUAUUGAUUAGUUUCUUUUCUACAAAGUUGCAGGGAUGCUCUUUCGACUUUAUGUGCAAAACAGAUUUCAAAUAACCACCAGUAACACUCUGUGCCGAGCCCGAUAGGAAGGAAUGGAUGCUGAAGAGGGACAGUGUUUGGUAGAGUAUAUCAGGGUGCUUUCCAAAACGGGGUUUAAAAUCACGUCCAAACAGCAGUUUAAAAAAAUAAAUACGUAUACAAAUAUUAAAGAGGCCUGUUUUGGCCGAUACCCUGUUCACUAAGUUCUGUUGCAACCACUUCGUUGCUUAGUGCUGGUAUGACUUGCUUUGCUUCUUCCACUAUCCCAAUUAAAAAUCUCAUGUGUAAUGAUAGCAUUUAUUUAUGUGAUACCUUCUUUUCUCUCUCUUUCACAUAGGUGUUAUUUAUCCCAGAAACAAUAUCUCUUUCCGUUUUUGUCUCGUUACCUAUAAAUUCUUUUAAAAUUAUCCUAGAUAUUUUUCAAAUAUUCAGUAUUUUUUGAACGUCUGCCUCUUGUGGACACUACUCU
Long non-coding RNA from Podarcis raffonei (Aeolian wall lizard), 2433 nucleotides. RefSeq lists it as uncharacterized. Lineage: Eukaryota; Metazoa; Chordata; Lepidosauria; Squamata; Lacertidae. The transcript has 2 exons. The record is from RefSeq and is a predicted model, not a curated record.